UGAGGAAUAUUGGUCAAUGGGCGGGAGCCUGAACCAGCCAAGCCGCGUGAGGGAAGAAGGCCCUAUGGGUCGUAAACCUCUUUGUCAGGGAACAAAAGCGAGUAUGUAUACUGGUCUGAGUGUACCUGAAGAAAAACGCAUCGGCUAACUCCGUGCCAGCAGCCGCGGUAAUACGGAGGAUGCGAGCGUUAUCCGGAUUUAUUGGGUUUAAAGGGUGCGUAGGCGGCGGUGCAAGUCAGCGGUAAAAGCCCGGGGCUCAACCCGGCGAGCCGUUGAAACUGCAGUGCUAGAGAAGGCGAGAGGUACGCGGAAUGCGCAGUGUAGCGGUGAAAUGCUUAGAUAUUGCGCAGAACUCCGAUUGCGAAGGCAGCGUACUGGCGCCUGACUGACGCUGAGGCACGAAAGCGUGGGGAUCGAACAGGAUUAGAUACC
RNAcentral lists this ribosomal RNA (432 nucleotides) under uncultured bacterium. RNAcentral describes it as "bacterial SSU rRNA". It matches the Rfam family "Bacterial small subunit ribosomal RNA", at positions 355 to 786 of the family's 1533-position model. The record is from RNAcentral.